This is a long non-coding RNA of Nicrophorus vespilloides, 696 nucleotides long. RefSeq lists it as uncharacterized. NCBI's taxonomy places the organism in Eukaryota, Metazoa, Arthropoda, Insecta, Coleoptera, Silphidae. The transcript is spliced from 3 exons. The record is from RefSeq and is a predicted model, not a curated record.
GGGUAGUGAAUGGGCGGAAAACGAUGGGUUCUGAGGACGCGCGCCGCGACGCCUGCGAGCGCUCAGUAGUCACCCCGACGCCGCGCAAAACACCAGCGUCGCGACGCUCCGGCAGUACACGUAUCGCGCCAAAAAAAGUUUACCGCAAAACUUCGCUUCGAAUACAAUAAAUUUUAGUUUUAGCAUGUUCUGAAUUACAUAACAAUCACAUUAAAUUUGCAUGAAAUGCUCUUUUGGAAAUGGGAGGAAUCCUUGUAAAUUCAAUGAAGUUUUAGGGUUAAACACAAUGACGAAAUGACUACUCUACGACCGAUCAGCUCUGGAGUCCCUCAGGGAAGCGUUUCGGGCCCCUUGAUAUAUCUCCUUUUCACGGCGGACUUGCCUACAUCUCAACAAGUCACUGUGGCCACGUUCGCUGAUGACACUGCAAUCCUGGCAUCGCCUUAUUAACAUCGAAAACUGUGGAGAACUAUAGCCAACUAGGCUAAGUCGAUGCAUGUGACGUUUACUAUGCGUCGACAGACCUAUCUUCCAGUCCUAUUAAAUAAUAAUAGCAAAGGCUAGCACAAGAUACUAUAAUCGGCUAGAGAAUCAACCAAACUAACUGGCUACGGAGCUGAUGCAUACUGUAGAUCAGAGGUUCCCAAACUUUUUUGUGUCGUAGACCCCUUGUCAUGUUUUUCGGUUUUGGGUAGA